Molecule: ribosomal RNA, 351 nt
Filed under: Myurella multistriata
Lineage: Eukaryota; Metazoa; Mollusca; Gastropoda; Neogastropoda; Terebridae
Description: Clathroterebra multistriata partial 12S ribosomal RNA
Source: RNAcentral
ACNNGAGUACUAUGAAUAUCUAAAGAUUUAAAACUCAAAGAACUUGGCGGUGUUUUAGACCACUCAGGGGAACCUGUCUCGUAAUCGACAAUCCACGUUGUACCUGACCUUUUUUGUUUUCAGUUUGUAUACCGUUGUCGUCAGGUAACUUUUUAGAAAUUAGAAGUUAGCAGCAGAAAUAUUAGUGAUUUAGUACGUCAAAUCAAGGUGCAGCUAAUAAAAAGGGGAGGAUGGGUUACAAUUAUUUGAUUUAUAAUAACGGAUAAACAUAUGAAUGUAUGUUAAAUUAUAAGGCGGACUUGAAAGUAAAUUAGAAUAUGUAAGUAAUUUGAAUAGGGCUCUGAAACGUGU